GACGAACGCUGGCGGCGUGCUUAACACAUGCAAGUCGAACGGAAAGGCCCUGCUUGCAGGGUACUCGAGUGGCGAACGGGUGAGUAACACGUGGGUGAUCUGCCCUGCACUUCGGGAUAAGCCUGGGCAACUGGGUCUAAUACCGGAUAGGAGCCAUUUUUAGUGUGAUGGUUGGAAAGUUUUUUCGGUGUAGGAUGAGCUCGCGGCCUAUCAGCUUGUUGGUGGGGUGAUGGCCUACCAAGGCGGCUACGGGUAGCCGGACUGAGAGGGUGGACGGCCACACUGAGACUGAGGGACGGCCCAGACUGCUACGGGAGGCAGCAGGGGGGAAUAUUGAACGAUGGGCGCAGGGCGGAUGCAGCGACGCCGCGGGGGGGAUGACGGCCUUCGGGUUGUAAACUCCUUUCGCUAGGGACGAAGCUUUUUGUGACGGUACCUAGAUAAGAAGCACCGGCUAACUACGUG
RNAcentral lists this ribosomal RNA (465 nucleotides) under uncultured bacterium. RNAcentral's name for it is "partial 16S ribosomal RNA". It matches the Rfam family "Bacterial small subunit ribosomal RNA", at positions 28 to 507 of the family's 1533-position model. The record is from RNAcentral.